GAGUUUGAUCCUGGCUCAGGACGAACGCUGGCGGCGUGCCUAAUACAUGCAAGUCGAGCGAGCUUGCCUAGAUGAUUUUAGUGCUUGCACUAAAUGAAACUAGAUACAAGCGAGCGGCGGACGGGUGAGUAACACGUGGGUAACCUGCCCAAGAGACUGGGAUAACACCUGGAAACAGAUGCUAAUACCGGAUAACAACACUAGACGCAUGUCUAGAGUUUGAAAGAUGGUUCUGCUAUCACUCUUGGAUGGACCUGCGGUGCAUUAGCUAGUUGGUAAGGUAACGGCUUACCAAGGCAAUGAUGCAUAGCCGAGUUGAGAGACUGAUCGGCCACAUUGGGACUGAGACACGGCCCAAACUCCUACGGGAGGCAGCAGUAGGGAAUCUUCCACAAUGGACGAAAGUCUGAUGGAGCAACGCCGCGUGAGUGAAGAAGGGUUUCGGCUCGUAAAGCUCUGUUGGUAGUGAAGAAAGAUAGAGGUAGUAACUGGCCUUUAUUUGACGGUAAUUACUUAGAAAGUCACGGCUAACUACGUGCCAGCAGCCGCGGUAAUACGUAGGUGGCAAGCGUUGUCCGGAUUUAUUGGGCGUAAAGCGAGUGCAGGCGGUUCAAUAAGUCUGAUGUGAAAGCCUUCGGCUCAACCGGAGAAUUGCAUCAGAAACUGUUGAACUUGAGUGCAGAAG
Molecule: ribosomal RNA, 685 nt
Filed under: uncultured bacterium
Lineage: Bacteria
Description: bacterial SSU rRNA
Rfam family: Bacterial small subunit ribosomal RNA
Source: RNAcentral